AAAGCCCAUAGUCCUAGCACUUGAGAGUUGGAGGAGGCAGGAGGAUGAGAAGUUAAAGGACAGCCUGUUACGUAGUGAGUUGGAGACUGGUCUGAAGUCAGAAAGAAAAGUUACUUGUGUUAUUUUUAGGUGGUAGCCUCAGGUGAAGUUGGGAGAGCAUGUGAGACAGGAAGAAAGGGGGUUUGGGGCAGGGUUCUGUGCUUAGUGCCAGUUGAAGUCAGGGCUUUAACCUUCAGGCCUGGGCCUGUUUUACAUAGCUGGCCUCUUUUCAGGUGUCUCAACAGCCCUCAGGCUGUGUUUUGAAUUUCAAACUUUUCAUUCUUGGCCUUGCUCCCACCAGCUCUUGUGGGAGAACAUGCUCUCCAAACCUCAGGAAACAGAGAGGAGCAAGUACAUUUGCCUUAGGGUCUUGAGUGGUAUUUUGGUCCGAUUUCUGCUGUACCCCAGUUAUAAUCCUGGCCAUGUCUUCUCUGAGUCUGUUUCUUCGUCUCCAGUCUGAAGGCGUUUUCACUCCACACACUUAAGUGUUAAGGGUUAGAGCUGUGUGUGCUUUUUUUCUCUUGGGUCAUUUCUGUAGCUGUUAAAAGUGAAGGUAUGUGAUUUGCCAAAGGCAAGACAGAAUAGAAAAAUGCUAUUAUUACACAGUUGGACGGGGAGCCAAGGGCUAACCUUUGAAACUGGGAGACUGAAACCCUAUUUCCUAUAGGUCAGAGGGAAAUUUGAGGUAGGUGAGGGCUUGCUUGUAUGUUGAUCUUUCUUCUGUUCUUUUGUCCCCUGUAGGAGGCUCUGAGUUCUUGGUUGCAGGACGGUGUGGAUGGUUUCCAAGUUCGGGAUGUGGGAAAGCUGGCGGUAAGUGCUUUUUCUGUGUUGAGAGGCAAAAGGCUUUGGUGAGAAGAGUGGGUCUCAGCCAGGGCUAAGUGAUGUCCCCCGUUCUGACUCUGCUUUUUUCUACUAGAAUGCAUCCUUGUACUUGGCUGAGUGGCAGAAUAUCACCAAGAACUUCAGUGAGGACAGGCUUUUGAUUGCAGGGACCGCGUCCUCUGACCUGCAACAAAUUGUCAACAUACUUGAAUCCACCAGCGAUCUGCUGCUGACCAGCUCAUACCUGUCACAGCCCGUUUUCACUGGGGAGCAUGCAGAACUCCUAGUGAUUAAGUAUUUGAAUGCCACUGGCAGCCGCUGGUGCAGCUGGAGUGUGUCGCAGGCAGGACUCCUGA
This 1217-nucleotide long non-coding RNA is filed under the name Rattus norvegicus (Norway rat). Its description in RNAcentral is "long non-coding RNA NONRATT003542". Lineage: Eukaryota; Metazoa; Chordata; Mammalia; Rodentia; Muridae. The record is from RNAcentral.